GGGAAUGUAGCUCUGUGGAAGAGCACUUGCCUGGCAUGCAAGGAGCCCUAGUUCAAUCCCU
This is a transfer RNA of Neotoma lepida (desert woodrat), 61 nucleotides long. It matches the Rfam family "tRNA". From Rfam's summary of the family: Transfer RNA (tRNA) molecules are approximately 80 nucleotides in length. The record is from Rfam. Lineage: Eukaryota; Metazoa; Chordata; Mammalia; Rodentia; Cricetidae.